AACUCUCAAACAAGAUGCUUUGUUGUUAUCUUUGUUUGGAUUUGGACUCUGUCGCGUCCUCUGGGAUGUGGCUGGACCUAAAUGUAUUAGCUGGCCCUCAUGAAGGCUUGGUUCUACUCGGCGUGAUAAUUAUCUAACGUUGAGGACAUUCUCUGGAAUGGCCAGGCUUCUCUUUGGACUGCUUCUAAUCGUCUCUUUGGGACAAUUUACUAUCA
RNAcentral lists this unclassified non-coding RNA (215 nucleotides) under uncultured Hydnaceae. Its description in RNAcentral is "sequence contains ITS2". The record is from RNAcentral. Lineage: Eukaryota; Fungi; Basidiomycota; Agaricomycetes; Cantharellales; Hydnaceae.